Molecule: RNA transcript, 4699 nt
Organism: Paramacrobiotus metropolitanus
Lineage: Eukaryota; Metazoa; Tardigrada; Eutardigrada; Parachela; Macrobiotidae
Exons: 5
Source: RefSeq, a predicted model, not a curated record
AUUUCGGCCACGCGUAAUUGCGGCCACUCUAAUCAUGUGACGUAUGACGUUUUCAGAUUUUCUAAGAGUUUUUAAAUGUGUUAUGUUUCCUUAAGCCAUCGGGGCUUAGUUUAUUGUCCUAUGUUUUCUUAAUGUUUCUUAUGUUUUCUAGGGUUUUCUUGAGUUUUAGUUUUCUUACCGAUAUGAAAGCGGCUGAAGUGAAUCCUUAGCCUGUUUUGGGCUAUCUUAUGUUAUAUCCGCCGUUACAGUUUAAUAUCCUGUUGCGCUCAUACCUGAAGCAAUUGGACGAUCGUUCUCGAAAAGCGAGCCACAUAAAACUGUAUUUGUGUGGCUGUUGGUGACGAACCCGUGGUGAUGAGAUCUUAAAGGUUCGCAAGAAGGAAAUCCAGGAGAAGGCGGCUUAUUUGGUCUAUUCCCACCUCCUUAUAUACGGGUGACGGCGAUCACUGGAUCCUUAUGGAAUGGUGAACAGCAAAAAAAUGGUGGUGGCCCAAUCCUAAAGAAAAAGCGCUGCUAACGGCAAAGCUAUGAAAACCUUUGAAACCAAGUCGUUUGGACGCAUACAACGCAUUGUUUGAAAAUGCAAUAAAGAGGGCAGUUCGACUAUGUGUUGUGGAAGGUGAACUACGGCAUCGCAAUGAUAAACGCAGCGAAGGAUGGUCUGGACAUGCCACAGCGAAGAAGUCUUUACCAUGCGUGCAGCCACAUCUUGACUAUGGGUCGGAUACGUGGUCACCAGCAUCUUCGACUUUACGCGGCAAGCUAGCCAGUUCCCAACGGGAAGCAGUGCAGGCCACUACUUAUUACAUGGAGCGGGUAACCCCCGAGCUGUAUCAGCGAUUACGCAUCCUGCCGUUGUUCGACCGUUGGAAGCAAUCAGCUUAUCACACUGUGCUGUCGUAUCGGAUGGCCUGUGGAAAUCGGAGUGGAUGCUCCAGUUAUCAACACGUUUUCCGCUAGUGCUACGACAAAAAAGCUUAGUGGCGUAAUCAUGGGUCGAUCACUUGUUCACAACCGCCAAUCACAGCUUUUCUGCUUAUCUGUAAAAAAACUGACGCCACUAACCCACAACAACUUGAUAAUUUUCCCUCAGUUUGGACUCAACAGAUCUUUGGCACAAAUGACAAACACACAGUAUUCAGACCGUUUCAUUUUCUUCUGGCGAUAAAUUACGAUUGGACCUGACACUGGCCGAGCGACGACGGUUACCUGCGUUGCGGCCGCGUCGUGGACGAGGACAGCGGCGGACUUUACGUUGACCUGGAUUACUGCGAUAGGCGCCGCAAAUUUGCCCCCUUCGGAAGGGUAUUCCGGCCCAUCCGCCCUCUGCCGGUCGAUCAGGGGGCGAAGCAACAGCCUGCCGUCGCUGGCACGAUUAAAAAAUUCUAAACAUUAUUUCUUAAUAUAUUUUUAUUCCGAAGUUAAUGAUUUUUUAUUUUCGAAAAGUGAUUUCCCAAGUUUUUUCUGUUGUUAUAAGCACACAACAUUAAAUAAAUGAUUAAGCAAAAUAGUUUCAGAUUUGUCAUUUUUCCUGCAUCAGUUUUAUGUUUCUUUAAAUUGGCCGAUGCAGUAAAUUGAUCAGUUUCUCCACGAAAAUUUGUUAAAUAGCACGGUACAAAAUAAAAUUUUUAAACCCAUCCAGAUGUUAGCAGCCCGGUUUGAUCUUAAAAUUAUUAUUUUUUAUUUAUUGUUAUUUAUUAUUCUUAUUAUUAUGCUUUGAUUAUUGUUUAAUUUUUUAUUUAUUUUUUAUUUAUUUUAAAACUAUUAUUUGUAGUUGGAUCUGAAAAAAGUUUGAAACUGCAAUUUCUACCCUAGUCGCCGGUGCCACGCCCGUGCGCGUGCGGGUGCGGGAAACCGGUUUCGGUCCGUGGAUUUGGCUGCCGGCUGCUAUGACUCGUUUGGGAGGCGGCCGCCGCGACCCGGACUACGCAGCGGCCGUUGUCCAGUGGAGGACACCCGGUACGGAUGAGGCGCACACCCAGAUCGUCCCGUUGGAGCGUCUGGAUAGGGCGGUGCCGACGGAGCGCAGCGAGCCGGUCCAACCCGGCAUGCUGGGCGCGGCCAGCGUGGCGCUGGAGACGGGGCUUCCCGCACUAUCGCCGGCAGCGGCCGCUGUGCUCAUUCCGAUGACCAACGACCAUUUCAGUAGCCGGCGGUGGAUGUGCGUCGGGGAGCUGCGGAACGGCCGGUCCAGCAUGGUGAUGAGCGCCGCAGACUGCAGGACCGGGGACGACGCCAACGCCCGGUUUCUGGUACAUUGACUUGUCUUCUUAAUCGAUCACAUUCGUUAUAUAUUUUUAAUCACCUGAUCACCCGCAUAUUCCAAUCCCCUGGAAGCCAAAAAUUUGAGAAAUAACUGCUUCACAUACUCCUAACUGUGCUUAUACUUUCAGAAUAAUUUAUUUUAAUAACUACUUCUUAUAAACCAAACUAAAACUGUCAUAAACUCUAAAAAAAUAAUUUAAUAGGAAAAUCAAACUGGAAUUAUUAAUGCAUACUGUAUAGUAAAGAUGUUACAUUUUUUUUACUAUACAUUAAUAAUGGUGAAGGCUCCGCAUACCACCUUUAUACCACCUUUGACUCCUAAUACCACAUUUUGCACACCACGUUUGACUCCCCAUACCACCAUAAGUUUUUUUAAGCUUUUAAUAAAAAGAUAAGUUAAAAUAUUUGUUGCUGUGAUGUUUUAUAAAUGUUUAAGGUUACAAUGUCAUAACAUCGUUUUACCGGUAAAUGAUCAGAUUCUUAUAUAGCCGGUGUUUUCUUGAAAAGUUGAAAAACGUCGAAAAGGCGCAUUAGUCCAAGAAGAUCAGAUAGCGAUCCAGAACAUCCUUUGAUGUAUGAAGGAGCCUCCUUCGCGACGUUCAUGAUUUUCCAAGAGGCGUUCACGCGUUAUCAAAAAGAAACCUUUCGAAUGGAAAUGUGUGAAUUGUGUUAAGUACUAAAUAAAUGGUGGUAUGCGGAGUCAAAAGUGGUGUGCAAAAGGUGGUACUAGGAGUAGGAGCCAAAUGUGGUAUAUGGUAUUAGGAGUAUUAGGAGCCAAAGGUGGUAAAAGGUGGCAUGAGGAGCCUGGUCUUUUUUUCAAUAUAGGAUUAAACAGGAUUUACCCUUUACAAAGUACUUACAAUUUUUUAAAAAAAGGUUGAGCCUUUUCCUUGCAGUUGCGUCGUAAAGAAAUCAGUAACGACAGCGCUUUCGCCACGCCACGUGAGCCACUCUAGUGCUGUGACUGCACUGUAUCCGGAGAAAUGCAGUCACGACUCGCCGACACACACUGCGCCUGCGCUUUACAAUUUAGGUACACUUAGGUUUACAUUACUUCAAAUUUUUCCUUCAUUUCUUCAAAGCUAAUGGCGCAGCCGCGGUGACUGCAAUUCUCUGAGUGUAGUGAAGUGGCGUUUCCGGAAUUUUUAUUUCAAGUGGUCCACUUUAAUGACCAUCGCUUAUUGCUUAAUUUACUUAAUGUCCACUACUUUUGUUACUCAACAUACCUAAUAUUUUGGCCGCCGCAGAAUUGUCGCUGCUUCCCGGAUGAUAAUCAUAAGCGUUAGGUAAUUUCACGACUAACAAAUUUACGGUUUCAAAUCGUAAAGAUCUUACUUGGCACGAAAGAAGAAUGCCAGAAACAAGUGACACAGCCCGACAGAAACUGGAUACACUGCUGUUCGACCAGGACAAUGGCCGAGAUGAUCGAAGGAAUACCACUGCUGCUGGACGCCUUCAACCAGAGGUGCUAUCUCCGUAGCCAGGCAGCAUCGGGUGGUUAUGACUCCGCUCUUUUCCAAGCUGAGUCCGCUGAGUUAGAGCAGAGAAUGACGGAAUCCCGAAGCAUGUGGCCCAUCAGCGCAGCGGCUAGUGCCGUAUUGACGGAAGCUUUCGGCACUUUCUCGUCCACACAACAUGAUCGUUCUUUUCGUGUUCUUCAAGGAUCUCCCCCAACGAGGAGUGAGCACUAUUACCGGUCCUGGUCGAUGUUCAGUCCAGAGACUCUGAAACUGCUCAUCCGCCACCCGUGCACCGCACAGCUUGAUUCUGGGCAAGCAGGUGUUCUGGAAAGCUGGCUGCGGCUUUUCCUGAAAAGUAGUCCCACCGAAUUCGUUUUAGCGAGCGUGAUUCUUUUUCUUUGCGAACGGACGUUUACGGUCAUUCGGCCCCAUCGUCAAGAUUUAAAUUGAUCAUCUCAUCAGAAGAGCAGCUACCUGUAGUUUUUUCUUUGAGUUCCAGUAAUUAACAUUUUCAGUGAUUCAGAUAAACACUAGUCGUAUAAAUGAAAUGUCAGAAAUGGCAUCAAUAAUGUCGCGAUUGAGGAACGAUAGCGAUGGUUGGUUAGCAUAAAAUACAUUUAUCUAUGUUGGGCAAAGAGCGGAGUACAGUAUGCGUGCACAUAACAAGCGCAGAGCUGGUGGCAAGUACAUGCCGCUGAUGCAAAGGGCAUGGCGCGUCACUUAGGCGGUUUCACACUGGUCAAAGCUUCUCGCAUCUCCGUAGCAACAAUUGAUACCAACCCCGGAAACAGGACUUAUCAAAAGGUGCUGUUUAUGGUUAUCAAAUAAACUGAGAAUGCAGUCCUUUAAGAAUUAUGCCGAGGAAUGAAGACGAAUCAAGGAUUACGAAUUUUCACUGGUGCACCCGUGAUGUCCGCCAGCUUCUGGAGCCUUCUGGAUGCGAAAGGCAUCCAUUAAGGCAUGACGGAAUGACG